UAUUUCCCUGGAAUCAUAAAUGAUCAUGACACUGUGAAAAUGCAAAUUUAUAUAAAUAAGCAGUGAAAAUAAUUAAACUCAGAUGGUUUAUUAUUAUUCUAUUGUAUAUAUAUUUUUAUGCAUUUUAAUUUAUGAACGAUAAUAAUAAUAAUAAUAGAUAAUUGAAUAUUUACAUUUAAAUAAAUAUCAAUGAGUAAAAAGCUUCAUGAUUUUAAAAUAGUUAUAUGUUAUAAGCUUAUAUUAAUCAUUAUAAUACAUUGAAUUAGCAAUUUUUUAAAAUUAAAUAUUAGAAAAAUGUAAUGAUGUAAAUGAUGAGAAACCUUGGUAUUCCAGCUUGAAACCAGGGAGCUUUUCGUAGUUCAGCUUCUUCACUGCGGUUAUUAAGGCUAUCCGUUCUUUCAGGAAGAGGUGGUGGGGUCGGUGUGGAACCAUGUGUACUUCCAUCAGCGGGUACUGAACUGCUCGAGGUACUAAUCUGAGAUCUUCUCUUCGAUUUGAAUUCUGUUUCCGUACCAGAGCUGGGAGAAUUAUGUCCUAUCCUUGAUGGAGGCGUUGAUGGUAUUGUCCAGGCUCUCAGAUGGGGGUAUCUUGUUGUACGCCGGCCUCGUGCCCUCGGACUCGAUGAUCGCCUCGUUUAUAUAACCCCCAGAAUGCGGCCUGUUUGACGGGCUCGUCGGUGUGCUGCUACCACUGACGAGGGGGCAGCUGUCAUCCUCACCGUUCAACCCAAGAACGUCACGUCCACCUGUCAAACCCAUCGCCAGCCGCUUUAUCAGAGGCGGCUUGUCCGUUAGUCUCUUGUACGAAUUUAGCUCCGUAGGUGAGUUGCUCUCAUCGCUGCUCGGUGUGCUCUGCUGAGAGAUACUCUUUGGCUCAUCCUCGUUCGUUAUUGGGCCGAGAACGUUGGUGAAGUUGUGCGUCGGCCGUAGACCCGGGAUCGAGUUCGGUGUCUGAUUCGGUGCAAAGAAAUGGUUGAUCAGUCUCCAUGGUAUGUACAACUUAACGAUGACGUUCGAACACAUUUCUAUCGCAGAGAACGCGAGAGAAAUGCGAGUGUAAACGCGGAUUCGAUUUUCUUUAAUCUUUUUCCUUAUCUAGAACGAUUACAGUAACUUGUGAUUAGUGUUCUUCGUUUAUCGAGAAUAAUCAUCGAGGUAAUUUAUGAUAAUGUUGGUUAUAAAUGAUAAUGAAAAUCUUUGAGAAAAUUUAUUUCUAAGAUGUAACAAAUACGUGCAUUCAACUUGCAAAUAAAGUCUUGAUGAAUUUUAAUGUA
Molecule: long non-coding RNA, 1273 nt
Organism: Apis dorsata (giant honeybee)
Lineage: Eukaryota; Metazoa; Arthropoda; Insecta; Hymenoptera; Apidae
Exons: 2
Source: RefSeq, a predicted model, not a curated record